This 507-nucleotide ribosomal RNA is filed under the name uncultured bacterium. Its description in RNAcentral is "bacterial SSU rRNA". It matches the Rfam family "Bacterial small subunit ribosomal RNA", at positions 975 to 1482 of the family's 1533-position model. The record is from RNAcentral.
CUACCCUUGACAUGUACCGAAGCCCGAUGAGAGUUGGGUGUGCCCGAAAGGGAGCGGUAACACAGGUGCUGCAUGGCUGUCGUCAGCUCGUGUCGUGAGAUGUUGGGUUAAGUCCCGCAACGAGCGCAACCCUUGUCAUUAGUUGCUACAUUCAGUUGGGCACUCUAAUGAGACUGCCGGUGACAAACCGGAGGAAGGUGGGGAUGACGUCAAGUCCUCAUGGCCCUUAUGGGUAGGGCCUCACACGUCAUACAAUGGCGCAUACAGAGGGUUGCCAACCCGCGAGGGGGAGCCAAUCCCAGAAAGUGCGUCGUAGUCCGGAUCGGAGUCUGCAACUCGACUCCGUGAAGUCGGAAUCGCUAGUAAUCGCGGAUCGGCAUGUCGCGGUGAAUACGUUCCCGGGUCUUGUACACACCGCCCGUCACACCAUGGGAGCGGGUUCUACCAGAAGUAGCUAGCCUAACCGCAAGGGGGGCGGUUACCACGGUAGGAUUCGUGACUGGGGUG